GCCUGUCCUGACCCCAAGCCUCCCUGCUGUUCUGUACCUGCCUGACUUUGACCCGUUUAAGAACCUCUGCCUGUCCUGACCCCAAGCCUCCCUGCUGUUCUGUACCUUAUUGACUCUGCCCUGGAUUACGGACCUCUUUUGCCUGCUCCCUGUUUGGGUCAAUAAACAUCUGUGACUCUAGCUGUCUGCAUCUGGGUCUUAUCCUGAGUUCUGAUAGUCCCACAGUUGACAAUGCAUGUCAGAACAAAGUCAUGAGGACACAGGAAUUGUCCGUAGAGCACAGAGACAGGAUCGUGUCGAGGCACAGAUCUGGGGAAGAGUUCCAAAACAUUUCUGCAGCAUUGACGGUCCCCAAGAACACAGCCCGCUUGGAGUUUGCCAAAAGGCACCUAAAGACUCUCAGACCAUGAGAAACAAGAUACUCUGGUCUGAUGAAUACAAGAUUGAACUCUUUGGCCUGAAUGCUAAGCGUCAUGUCUGGAAUAAACCUGGCACCAUCCCUACGGUGAGCCUGGUGGGGGCAGUGUGAGCAUGGUGAGGGCAGCAUCUUGCUGUGGGGAAGUUUUUCAGCAGCAGGGACUGGGAGACUAGUUAGGAUCUAGGCAAAGAUGAACAGAACAAAGUACAAAGAGAUCCUUGAUGAAAACCUGCUCCAGAGUCCUCAGGACCGCCGACUGGGGCGAAGGUUCACCUUCCAACAGGACAACAGCCCUAAGCACACAGCCAAGAUGACACAGGAGUGGCUUCAUGACAAGUCUCUGAAUGUCCUUGAGUGGCCCAGCCAGAGCCUGUAUUUGAACACGAUCAUACAUCUCUGGAGAAACCUUAAAAUAGCUGUGCAGCAACGGUCCCCAUCCAACCUGACAGAGCUUGAGAGGAUCUGCAGAGAAGAAUGGGAGAAACUCCCAAAAUACAGGUGUGCCAAGCUUGUGUGUCAUACCCAAGAAGACUCGAGGCUGUAAUUGCUGCCAAAGGUGCUUCAACAAAGUACUGAGUAAAGGGUCUGAAUACUUAUAUAAAUGUGAUAUUUCAGUCCUUUUUUUUUUGCUAAAAAAAUCUAAAAACCUGUUUUUUCUUUGUCAUAAUGGGGUAAUGUGUGUAGAUUGAUGAGGGGGGAAACUAUUUAAUCAAUUCUAGAAUAAGGCUGUAAUGUAACAAAAUGUAGAAAAGUUGAGGGGUCUGAAUACUUUCGAAUGCACUGUAUGGUCAUUGAUCAACUUCAAUAUUGCCCCUUGACACAUUCAAAUGUAAAGAUAAAGUAAAAUAGUUGAGGCAGCUUUUAUUUUUGCAAAUACGUUCACUUUAUUUGUAUUUUUUACCACAAAAUAAUGAAAUAUGCAGCAUCCCUUAAUUUUUACAUUAAAAAUAGUUAUUACAAUCAAUGAUAUGAGCAUUAUAUGGAUACAAGUAUGAAGUUGCAGUGCAAAGGCUUACAAAAUCUUGAGCAAAAUCAAAUAUAUUACUUUAAAAUUCUUUACCCUAAAUUACAGAGGUGCAAAUGAUCCCUUUGGGCCUCAACCAAUAUCCACAUAAAAUUAGUUCAAACAUAUUUCAUUUAGAUCUAAUAAAACUAUUCAAAAUAAAAAAUCCACCUUGUAUAAACUCACCUUUCCAUGUUAAGACUCCUCCUUACCUGUCCACAAAUAAAAUAUAGGUGAUCAACUAAAUCCUCCGGUCUUUUUACUGACCCUUAUUCCAAUCACAGAGGAGGCUUUACCUCUUCUCUGUGUCUGGUCAGGUCUGGUCAGGUUUGGUCUGGUCAUUAUGCUGGUCAGGUCAGGUCUGGUCAGGUAUGGUCAUUAUGCUGGUCAGGUCAGGUCAGGUCUGGUCAGGUCAGGUCAGGUCUGGUCAGGUCUGGUCAGGUCAGGUCAGGUCAGGUCUGGUCAGGUCAGGUCUGGUCAGGACAUCAUGCUGGUCUGGUCUGGACAUUAUGCUGGUCAGGUCUGGUCAGGUCUGGUCAGGACAUUAUGCUGGUCGGGUCAGGACAUUAUGCUGGCCAGGUCUGGUCAGGACAUUAUGCUGGUCGGGUCAGGACAUUAUGCUGGCCAGGUCUGGUCAGGACAUUAUGCUGGUCAGGUCUGGUCAGGUCAGGUCAGGUCUGGUCAGGACAUUAUGCUGGUCAGGUCAGGUCUGGUCUGGUCAGGUCUGGUCAGGUCAGGUCUGGUCAGGUUUGGUCAGGACAUUAUGUUGGUCAGGUCUGGUCAGGACAUUAUGCUGGUCAGGUCUGGUCUGGUCAGGUCAGGUCUGGUCAGGUCUGGCCAAGUCUGGUCUGGUCAGGUCUGGUCAGGACAUUAUGCUGGUCAGGUCUGGUCAGGACAUUAGGCUGGUCUGGUCUGGUCAGGUCAGGUCAGGUCAGGUCAGGUCAGGUCAGGUCAGGUCAGGUCUGGAUCUGGUCAGGUCAGGACAUUAUGCUGGUCUGGUCAGGGCAGGUCUGGUUAGGUCUGGACAGGUCAGGUCAGGUCAGGACAUUAUGCAGGUCUGGUCAGUUCUGGUCAGGUCUGGUCAGGUCUGGUCAGGACAUUGAUGCUUGAUCCUUUCACUGCAUUGCCAUUGUAGCCUCAGCAUCUGAAAAUACACAAGACAACAGAAUAAUCUGAUUAGGACAUAGAACAUUUCUACAUGGACAGUAAACCUGUUCAAAUCCAGACAUCUAAAACAUCAGCACGCGUUGAUUGGCAGUGCCCUCUGAUCAUGUACACACGUGCAGUGUGACGUUGUGUGUGUGUCAUCUCCCCUCCCAGCAACGUUUUGCUGUUGUUGUUUACUACCAGUUGUGUGUGUAUGUGUGUGUGUGUGUAUCAGUCAUCUGUAUCAGUGUUUAGGGUGACCCCUGAGCUUGCCAACAGUUAGGGGUCAAGGGUCAGAGUAGGGACUGUCUGGGCGCACCGGCUGACCCCCAGCACCUGCAGCCUAUAGGGGGAGGGGAACCCUCAUCACCCGGACCAGGCUGAUAACACCUCUGGGAUUAGGAUCCAGACACAAACACACUGACCCCACUCCUUGCUCCCAAACACACACACACGUCAUAGACAUUGGUCCCUGCUUGGUCAUAAACUGAUGUCACGAUCGCUUAGGCUGCAUAACGCAGGUUAGGUCUGGUCUGGUCUGGUCAGGAAGGAGGAAGGGAGGGAGGAUGCUGAGUCUGGGACUGUCACCUAAUUAUCAUUCUUCUCUGAGAUGAGACUGCAUGGGGGGUUCUGUCAGGGCUUUUAACCAUUAGUAGACAUGAUCUGAUGUAACACCAUUGAAGAUCUCUGACAGUUAUGCGAUUUCUUUGUGCAAAUGUAGAUGAUACAUAUAUACAUAUCUGGUUAGAUCUCUAACAACAAGAGAGCCUAGGACCAAACGAUACAGUACAUCAUUAUUACAGACUCACCAGACCCUGUGACCCUCUUAUCAUAACAACCAAGGAGAAAGAAACUGCUCUUCAGGAGGAAACGGCACUAACAGGGAACUGAGCUGACCACAACCCUAAAUAGUCCUGUUGUGUUAAUACCACUCCUCCUUGCUUUUACUGGGGUCUAGAGAGGAGGUCCUACCAGGAUUUCCUUCCAAACAGACAUCAACAAUAACCUGUCUGCUCUGGCCUGGCCUGGCCUGGCCUGACCUGGUCUUGUCUGGCUUGGCCUGGUCUUGUCUGGCUUGGCCUGGUCUGGCCUGGUGGAGCGGGAGGCUUGGCUGAUUUAUCAGGGUAUUUUACUGGGGAGACUAUUGGGGGCUGCGGAGACACUGGGGGUGGGGAGACAUGGGGAAGGGGACAGGGGAGAGAGAGGGGAAUGACAGGUGGCAGGAGAGGGAGAGGGGAAUGACAGGGGGCAGGGGAGGGAGAGGGGAAUGACAGG
Molecule: long non-coding RNA, 3842 nt
Organism: Oncorhynchus tshawytscha (Chinook salmon)
Lineage: Eukaryota; Metazoa; Chordata; Actinopteri; Salmoniformes; Salmonidae
Source: Ensembl